GAUGAACGCUGGCGGCGUGCUUAACACAUGCAAGUCGAACGGAAAGGCCGAAGCUUGCUUCGGUACUCGAGUGGCGAACGGGUGAGUAACACGUGGGUGAUCUGCCCUGUACUUCGGGAUAAGCUUGGGAAACUGGGUCUAAUACCGGAUAUGACAAUCUCUUGGAUGGGGUUGUGGAAAGCUUUUGCGGUAUGGGAUAAGCUCGCGGCCUAUCAGCUUGUUGGUGGGGUAAUGGCCUACCAAGGCGUCGACGGGUAGCCGGCCUGAGAGGGUGUACGGCCACAUUGGGACUGAGAUACGGCCCAGACUCCUACGGGAGGCAGCAGUGGGGAAUAUUGCACAAUGGGCGCAAGCCUGAUGCAGCGACGCCGCGUGGGGGAUGACGGCCUUCGGGUUGUAAACUCCUUUCGCAACCGACGAAGCUUUUGUGACGGUAGGUUGAGAAGAAGCACCGGCUAACUACGUG
Molecule: ribosomal RNA, 466 nt
Filed under: uncultured bacterium
Lineage: Bacteria
Description: partial 16S ribosomal RNA
Rfam family: Bacterial small subunit ribosomal RNA
Source: RNAcentral